RNAcentral lists this long non-coding RNA (1458 nucleotides) under Pan troglodytes (chimpanzee). RNAcentral describes it as "lincRNA". The record is from RNAcentral. Lineage: Eukaryota; Metazoa; Chordata; Mammalia; Primates; Hominidae.
CAGCCGGAGGGGCUGCACUGCACCGAGCUUGCACAGGGCGAGGCGGGGGCAGGACCUGGGACCCAGCCACCCCGGAGGAAACCGGAGAGGAAGCCAGCUUGGUCUUGCUCUCUGCCUCGUCCCAAUCCCCGGCUCUUACCAAAUGCAGAUCCGUUGGCUGAAUGCCUUUUAGUCUGCAUACAUGCAUCUCAUACCGCACAGCCCAAAUUUCUACAACUUGUCCAGGUGCAGUCUCCUCAGAACUACAAAGCAAGAAAAGAUCACCUUUGGGCUCAGGAACUCACAGUCGUUCUCCCUCUCCUGGAAGGCACAAUGACCAGGACAGUACCGAGCUUUGCAGCCAUAUUGAACUCACCAUCAACUCAGCACAUUCAACUCAAUCAGUCAAAAUCACCUUUUCCUGCUGGUAAAUAACACUGAAAUACAAGGAAGCUGAGCCUUCACAAGGUCGAACAACACAUUUGAUGCCAUGCAGCUGAGAAGUGGUUCAAGCUGGAUUUGAACAGCUGUAGUCAGACUCUGCAGCCUACGCAUGUACCCACUGUGCUAUGCUGUCGCAUUGAAUAAAAUGCAGUGCCCUCAAUACGAAGUCAAUGUGAGCACAUACCAAGAAUCAUAUUGGGAAGGACAAGUCCUCAGUAGGCAAAACACUUUCCAGCAAUGUUAACCUGGAUGUGGAUAGAAAGGAGACUUGGGAAUUUCUCUGACUUAAUUCAUCUCUGGGUCCAUUUGAAGCAGAGCAGAAGACAGGGGAAGAGGUGCUAGGAGUGGUGGGCUCUGAGGUUCAAGCCCCACCAAUGGCCAGGCCUAAUAAAGAUCUAGACCUCCUUGCAGAAUGAGGCUUUCUCCAAAACCCUUCAGCUGUGGUUUGGUGGAACAGGCCUCACUACAUCUAGCUAAUUUUGUUCAUUCAUUCAUUCAUUCACUCAUUUAUUCAACCAGACUUCAUGGACACUUCUCCAUGUCAGGGCCUGGGCGUUGUGUCAGGGUUGCAAGGAUGAGUCAGGGAUUAUCCGUCAUCUCCAGGAAUUCAUGAGCACAUGGGGAAGACAGCUUGGAGAAAAUCACAGUAAUAGGGGAAAAUAAGGGCUGAGAAAAAAGUCCAUGCACUGCAGCGGACAGGACAGCAGGUCAGCUCCUGUGGGUUAAAAGUGGGCUGUGGGCUGGGUGCGGUGGCUCACACCUGUAAUCUCAGCACUUUGGGAGACUGACGUGGGCAGAACACGAGGUCAAGAGAUCGAGAACAUCCUGGCCAACAUGGUGAAACCCCGUCUCUACUAAAAAUACAAAAAUUAGCUGGCCGUGUUGGCAUGCACCUGUAGUCCCAGCUACUAGGGAGACUGAGGCAAGAGAAUGGCUUGAGCCUGUGAGGCGGAGGUUGCAGUGAGCCGAGAUCACGCCACUGCACUCUAGCCUUGUGACAGAGUCUCAAAAAAAAAAAUAAAAACAAAAAAGGUG